This 497-nucleotide ribosomal RNA is filed under the name uncultured bacterium. Its description in RNAcentral is "partial 16S ribosomal RNA". It matches the Rfam family "Bacterial small subunit ribosomal RNA", at positions 28 to 507 of the family's 1533-position model. The record is from RNAcentral.
GAUGAACGCUGGCGGCGUGCCUAAUACAUGCAAGUCGAGCGAACAGACGAGGAGCUUGCUCCUCUGACGUUAGCGGCGGACGGGUGAGUAACACGUGGAUAACCUACCUAUAAGACUGGGAUAACUGCGGGAAACCGGAGCUAAUACCGGAUAAUAUAUUGAACCGCAUGGUUCAAUAGUGAAAGACGGUUUUGCUGUCACUUAUAGAUGGAUCCGCGCCGCAUUAGCUAGUUGGUAAGGUAACGGCUUACCAAGGCAACGAUGCGUAGCCGACCUGAGAGGGUGAUCAGCCACACUGGAACUGAGACACGGUCCAGACUCCUACGGGAGGCAGCAGUAGGGAAUCUUCCGCAAUGGGCGAAAGCCUGACGGAGCAACGCCGCGUGAGUGAUGAAGGUCUUCGGAUCGUAAAACUCUGUUAUUAGGGAAGAACAAUUGUGUAAGUAACUAUGCACGUCUUGACGGUACCUAAUCAGAAAGCCACGGCUAACUACGUG